AACGAACGCUGGCGGCAGGCUUAACACAUGCAAGUCGAACGCAUCCUUCGGGGUGAGUGGCAGACGGGUGAGUAACGCGUGGGAACGUGCCCUUCAGUUCGGGAUAACCCAGGGAAACUUGGGCUAAUACCGGAUACGUGCGAGAGCAGAAAGAUUUAUCGCUGAAGGAUCGGCCCGCGUCUGAUUAGCUAGUUGGUGGGGUAAUGGCCCACCAAGGCGACGAUCAGUAGCUGGUCUGAGAGGAUGAUCAGCCACAUUGGGACUGAGACACGGCCCAAACUCCUACGGGAGGCAGCAGUGGGGAAUAUUGGGCAAUGGGCUCAAGCCUGAUCCAGCCAUGCCGCGUGAGUGAUGAAGGCCUUAGGGUUGUAAAGCUCUUUCGUCCGGGACGAUAAUGACGGUACCGGAAGAAGAAGCCCCGGCUAACUUCGUGCCAGCCGCCGCAGUAA
RNAcentral lists this ribosomal RNA (449 nucleotides) under uncultured bacterium. RNAcentral's name for it is "partial 16S ribosomal RNA". It matches the Rfam family "Bacterial small subunit ribosomal RNA", at positions 29 to 523 of the family's 1533-position model. The record is from RNAcentral.